AAAUGUAGAGUGCAUUCCGCCGAAAGGUGGAUUUCCUUCGGGACUCUUUACAAGGUGCUGCAUGGUUGUCGUCAGCUCGUGCCGUGAGGUGUCGGGUUAAGUCCCAUAACGAGCGCAACCCUUAUCGUUAGUUGCCAGCGGGUAAUGCCGGGAACUCUAACGAAACUGCCGGUGUAAACCGUGAGGAAGGUGGGGAUGACGUCAAAUCAGCACGGCCCUUAUGUCCAGGGCUACACACGUGUUACAAUGGCCGGUACAGAGGGCAGCUACCUGGAGACAGGAUGCGAAUCUCGAAAGCCGGUCUCAGUUCGGAUCGGAGUCUGCAACUCGACUCCGUGAAGCUGGAUUCGCUAGUAAUCGCGCAUCAGCCAUGGCGCGGUGAAUACGUUCCCGGGCCUU
Molecule: ribosomal RNA, 399 nt
Filed under: uncultured Sphingobacteriales bacterium
Lineage: Bacteria; Pseudomonadati; Bacteroidota; Sphingobacteriia; Sphingobacteriales
Description: bacterial SSU rRNA
Rfam family: Bacterial small subunit ribosomal RNA
Source: RNAcentral